GAUGAAGAACGCAGCGAAAUGCGAUAAGUAAUGUGAAUUGCAGAAUUCAGUGAAUCAUCGAAUCUUUGAACGCACCUUGCACUCCUUGGUAUUCCGAGGAGUACGCCUGUUCGAGUGUUAUGAAGCUCUCAAAACGCAAUUGGCUUAAAACCUGAUUGUUGUUUUGGAUUUGAACUUUGCCGUGUUAUAACGGCUGGUUUUAAAAGUAUUAGCUGGUACUAGAACGAAUUGGUUCUACUCAACGUGAUAAUUAUCUGAUCGUUGAGGACAUUCCUUUCACGAGGAAUGGCCAUAGUAAAUUCAAUGGACUGCUUCUAAUCUGGCUUUGAUUCUUUAUUGGAUUAACCACUUUUCAAAUCUGACCUCGAAUCAGGUGGGACUACCCGCUGAACUUAAGCAUAUCAAUAAGCGGAGGA
This 416-nucleotide unclassified non-coding RNA is filed under the name soil metagenome. RNAcentral's name for it is "partial contains 5.8S ribosomal RNA, internal transcribed spacer 2, and large subunit ribosomal RNA". The stretch from base 1 to 120 matches the Rfam family "5.8S ribosomal RNA", at positions 35 to 154 of the family's 154-position model. The record is from RNAcentral.